GAUGAACGCUGGCGGCGUGCCUAAUACAUGCAAGUCGAACGGGGAGUAGCAAUACUCUUAGUGGCGAACGGGUGAGUAACGCGUUGGUACCUGCCCCGAAGCGGGGGAUAACGGACCGAAAGGUCCGCUAAUACCCCAUGUGCUCGGUAACGAGUAAAGGUGAAAACCACUUUGGGAGGGGCCUGCGUCCCAUCAGCUAGUUGGUAAGGUAACGGCUUACCAAGGCGAUGACGGGUAGGGGACCUGAGAGGGUGGCCCCCCACAAUGGAACUGAAACACGGUCCAGACACCUACGGGUGGCAGCAGUAGGGAAUAUUGGUAAUGGGCGCAAGCCUGAACCAGCAACGCCGCGUGUGCGAUGACGGCCUUCGGGUUGUAAAGCACUUUUGACUGGGACGAGGAAGGACGGUACCGGUCGAAUCAGCCUCGGCUAACUACGUG
RNAcentral lists this ribosomal RNA (441 nucleotides) under uncultured bacterium. Its description in RNAcentral is "partial 16S ribosomal RNA". It matches the Rfam family "Bacterial small subunit ribosomal RNA", at positions 28 to 507 of the family's 1533-position model. The record is from RNAcentral.